RNAcentral lists this long non-coding RNA (3037 nucleotides) under Homo sapiens (human). Its description in RNAcentral is "non-protein coding lnc-FAM174A-6:3". Lineage: Eukaryota; Metazoa; Chordata; Mammalia; Primates; Hominidae. The record is from RNAcentral.
AGUGCUACGCGCCUGCGAGCUCGCGCACAUACACAUAUACAUACAUACACACAUACAUACAUAUGCACACACACGUACACGCAGAAUCACACACACUCUCCUGGGACAUCAAAGCAUCAGCUCUCUGGACCUGGGAGCUCCAAGAUAGUCUAUCCGCAUCUAGGUGAGAGGGCACCUCGCCUGGGGACAGAUUACAAAAGCGUCCCGCCAGAGGAAUGCUUCAGGUAGAGCUAGGGGUGGAUUGCAAGAAGAGUACCUUCUUUCAAUCGCUUUUGCUAAACACACACCCUCACACGCAAAAACACGCCCUCCAAGGUGGAGUGAAACGGGGUGCGGGGGUGGGGACGGCGGUGGAAGGAAGAAGACUUUUAUUACUCAAUCUGGAAAGUGCAAAUACACACAUGAACCUGUUAGCCGAUGGGCCCACUCUGCAUGGGUGGUGGACGACGACCCUGGCUCAGGAUUCUGCAGGAAACAAGUGAUGAUAGAGGUGUCAUUAGGAACUUUAUGGAUAUUUAUGCGCCUCCCUUUCAUUGCCAUUUGGAAACUCCUCACGCAGAAGUCAAGGAAACUCCAAUCCCACUUAAACUUCAUUGCGGAGAAACAGAGUUCUGAAAAAAAAGCAGCUACCAUGGACCUCUCUUUUAAACGCAAGUACACCCACACACAUUCGGAUACCAAGGAAGGAAGGAAAGAAAGAAAGGAAAGAAAAGGGAGGGGAGGAAGGAAGAGCAAAGUCCUCUCUAAAAGUCUCAAUUAUAUAUAUAGCCUCUGAUUGUCACCUCUCCUCCGUCCCACCAUUUUUCGUACUUGUAUUGGGUGGCAGGGACACUUUUCAAGAGUUCUGUGUUCGAUUGUUCACUCUGAGUACCUCUCCACCAUCCUCCAGUCGUUGCCCUCAUUGGGAGAGAUGCUUGCUACUCUGCUAGUACCACGCCUUGGUUCCGGUCUUUACUGUUGGCUGGUAGGUCGGGAGGCACCUCUAGCAUGAGACAGUGUCUGGAAGCCAGGAUUUCCCUCAUCUAUAUGCGCCGGUCCCCAGCUCCCUGGUCGCCAGGGUUUCUCUCCAGUUGAAUUCCGUGUUCCUUCAGGUUGAACAGUAGCUUCAGCGGUUUUUCACGCUCAGAAAUGAUGAGGCCCAAUUCCAAUCUUCCCUCCCGCCGGAAGUAAGAAGGGGAAUUCUGAGUUGCUUGUCGCCUGACAGCUUAAAAUAGCAACGAAAACAGCCAGCAUCUUUGCUUAAAAACCCAAGGUUCCCGCCAGUGUUUACCAUACUUCCUCUAGAGUUUAAGAAGUUAAGAACUUCCGAGAUCUUGAAUUUCCUCUUUGCAGCACAGCGAACGGGGUCGGGUAUAAAAAUGCUCCAAGGAGCAAGUAAUUACGAACGUUUAUUGACACUACAAGUGGCCCACAGGGAGCCUUUCGAGUUUAUUGAUGUCUAGGCAAAUCCAGCCUGCAUUAAUGCAUUUCUGUUAGAUUGACUUCUGUUAGACUCACUUUUCUUCUGGCAAAAACUGCCAGAAUAAAACAGCUUCUUAUUUAAGUUAAAAGGGAUCCGGGGCUGAGGGCAGGGGUCGGGUGGGAGAGGGAUGCAUGGUUAGGAUGCUAAAUUCUCAAGGAUAAACUUUGAUUUUUAAACAGUAGACAACUAUAUUUUAGAUUAUAGGUAAAACAUCACUCUCUGUCAGGGAUAGAGUAAUAUGCAUCGUUUCAUUAAACUCAUUAUUUCUUAAGCAAUGGUUAUGGGGCAGGCAAUGUGUGCGGAGAUGGGAACACAAAGAUGAAUAAAACUUAGCAUCUAGUCAGACACAAAUCCUACUCACUCAAAGGGGGCAUCUUUUAAAAAUAAUAAUUUACAGUAUGGCAACAUGAAUCAGAAACAUCAUUUAAAAUAUAUAUGGUAUCUGAGUAAGCUCCUGGGUUGAAGCAGAUGGGGUGUUUAAGCCUUUUGAAGCCCGGAAGAUGAGUUUCCGGGUGAAGGGGACACACAGACUCCUGUUUUCAAAGCUGACAAGGAAGUAAGCCAAGCAGAGGGAGGAUAGAACAUUGCAGGUGGAAAAAGGAGUAUGCGCAACUCCAGAGAGUAAUAAAACUCUGGUGCUUUGGGGCAACUUUGAAGUGGCUCAGUACUGUUAGAAGGGAAAGUGGUAAGGGAGAGUGCUGGUCCAAAAGUUUCGGUGUACUCAUAAUAUUCUAUGGCUCCAGAGUGUGGAACAGUCUUCUGUAAUGAGAAAGCCACAAGAAAAUCUUCAAGAGGAAAGUGAGUAUAAUCUAUAUUAAGCUUUAAAUUACAUUAGGGGAAACUACUUACCUAGCCCAAACAGGAAAAAACAAACAAACAAACAAAAAAAGAAAAGAAAAAAAAAAAAAAAAAGAGCGAAACGAAAGCAAUCAAGAACUAGUUAUAGGAACACAUAAGACAAAUUUAAAUGUCCAGAAGAAAAAUAAGUGAACUCUCCAAUUGUAUAAUGCUGCUGUUUCUGAAUUUUUUAAGUACAGAACUUUUUAUAUUAAGGCGAGCAAUUCUGAAUGACUGAUAACUGUUCAGCGAGACUCCAGGAAUUCUUCUUCCCAAAUUAAAGCAAUUUAGUGUUUGGAGUGUAAUUGAAUGCCAUUUGUUUAAUAUUGUUAGAUUCGUUAAAUAUAUAGCCAUUAUAAUUUGCCAAUUAAAAAGAAGCCAUACAGGCCAAUACUUAGACAAAAGUGAGGACAGCAUGGUUUUUUCUCAAUAUGUAAAUAGGUGCAAGAACUAUAAAUAUUGGAUAAAAAGUCUUUUGGAAUUAACUUCUAUUAGAAUGCUUAGUUUGAUGUUCCUGAGCACCAAAAGACUAUAAAGAAGUCUUUUGGAAUUAACUUCUUCUAUUAGAAUGCUUAGUUUGAUGCUCCUGAGCAAAUAAGAUUGUUUCUAAAUUUUCAUUUGAUCUUUGGAUUGUAAGUUCUUCAAUAAAGAGAAUAUAUUUGUCUUUAUUCAGCACAAUUCUACAAUUAUACAAUAGCCUAUAAAUAAAUAAUGUGAGUAAUGGCAGCUGGUUUUAAA